GCCUCUCUUUGCCAACUACUCUGCUCUUCUGAUAAAUUCCUCUCUUUCGCUUUCAUUAACCUUCAAUAUUCCACUAGUAGUGUUUCAAAUAUUCCACUAAUUGGACUUGAAGCACAUCUUUUAUUCUUUUCAUUGCUUGACGUGAUUGUUACGAUCACGAAGACGAUAAAUCCCAACUACAAAUACAUAAGAGUCAGAACUGCUAAGGGCAUUCCAUUCUCUCAUUGUGGUACCAUUAAUGGCUCGCUACAACAUAUUAGUUUCCCUUACUUUAAUUCUUCUACUAGUAUCUUAUGCUCCUAGCUUUGAAGCAAGAAUAAAGCUAAUGAAGAAUAUGGAGGAGAAAAAUAUUGAUCCUUCUCAAGAUGCCAGUGUACUAUUGAGUUCCCUUCCUAAAGGUCGCUCGGUCCCUCCUUCUUCUUCCCCAAGUGAUGAAGGCCAUGUGGAGCUUGAUCACAAUAUGAAGUCAGUUCCUAGCCCUGGUAUUGGCAAUUGAUGACAGAGGUGGAUUCAAGAUUUUAAUACAAUGGGGGCACUGAAAAAAUAUGAGUUAUUUCUUCAACCAGUGACCCUCUAAAGGCUAUUAGUGUUUGGGUGCCAAGUUAAUUAUAUAAUCAUUUUCAAGGUAUAUACACAUACAUAUACAAGAUUUUUGCUGAAGUUACGAGGUCAAGUGACCCCUCAAUGUAGAAAGUAGGUCCGGCUCUGAUUGAUGAAUUGAGUAAGCUUUGAAAUUGGUCACUUCUUUGAAAUAUGUACAAAUACACCAAAAAUCUUUGAAAUGUGUAGACAAAUAUAUAGUAAGAUUUCAUCCUGAUCAUUCCGAGUCCACUAACUCUAAAUCUUGGAUUCACUUCCCCAUCUGACAAAUUUGUAAGCCUCUCUUUUGUGAAUACAAAGUAAUUAUGUGAAGGUUACUAUAAAUGUACGUUACUAACUACUGUAUUAAUUUAGUCGUAGGUCUCUACUCUCAUGUAGUACCGUAACCUGCCAUGAUCCCCACAUUGUUGUGUUUAAUUAAAAGUAAUAUAUGUGCUAAGAUUUCACAAAUGCAUCAUUUUAGUGUUUGGUUGAAACUACAGGGAUGAUUUUCUUGAGUUGCAUGUGUCAUUUUCAUUUGAAAGGGACCAAAUCUAAUUUCCUGCAAUCACGUAUGAUGGAACUAAUGAAAAUUACGCAUGCCAAACCUUACAAAAGUAUGCCAAUCAAUUAACGAAGUUCACAACAAACUUUGAAAGAAAAUCCACUUGUUCAUUUUGUACGAGAUUGAGAAUUUGAGUCCGGAACUAAAAUGAGGUACAACGAGGACAAAUAGAUGAAAACCGAGCAAUUUUUGGUAAAUUUUGGAUGAAUUUGAACUUGAAUGAGACGACAAGAGGAUCCCGCGACAUUUAGAGAAAAAUCUAGCAACUGAAGCCAGUCGCGCGUUCAACCCGCGUCACGCGCUUAGCGCGCAACUGAAGCCUCUCUGACCAAAUCUCUGAUGCAGACAAAAUAUACUCCCGCGAUGGGCUCGCGUGACGCGGCCAUCGCGAGAGCUCGUCCAGUUUUUCCGAUUUGAUCAGGAUUUGGCCAGCUUAUUUUAGCUUUUAACCUAGGCUAUAAAUAGACAUUUUUUAUGUUAUACACGACGUGCUGGGAUUAUUCUUAAGACUUGUAAGCCAUCAUUCUUAUUCUCUCUUAAGUUUUACUUUAUUUUCUUCAUUCAACCCUGGAUUAUUCAUGAAUUCUAGUUCUUCUUCUCGAA
This is a long non-coding RNA of Lycium ferocissimum, 1747 nucleotides long. RefSeq lists it as uncharacterized. The record is from RefSeq and is a predicted model, not a curated record. The transcript has 2 exons. Lineage: Eukaryota; Viridiplantae; Streptophyta; Magnoliopsida; Solanales; Solanaceae.